This 427-nucleotide ribosomal RNA is filed under the name uncultured bacterium. Its description in RNAcentral is "partial 16S ribosomal RNA". It matches the Rfam family "Bacterial small subunit ribosomal RNA", at positions 355 to 774 of the family's 1533-position model. The record is from RNAcentral.
UGGGGAAUAUUGCACAAUGGGCGCAAGCCUGAUGUAGCCAUGCCGCGUGUAUGAAGAAGGCCUUCGGGUUGUAAAGUACUUUCAGCGAGGAGGAAGGCGUUGUGGUUAAUAACCGCAGCGAUUGACGUUACUCGCAGAAGAAGCACCGGCUAACUCCGUGCCAGCAGCCGCGGUAAUACGGAGGGUGCAAGCGUUAAUCGGAAUUACUGGGCGUAAAGCGCACGCAGGCGGUCUGUCAAGUCGGAUGUGAAAUCCCCGGGCUCAACCUGGGAACUGCAUCCGAAACUGGCAGGCUAGAGUCUUGUAGAGGGGGGUAGAAUUCCAGGUGUAGCGGUGAAAUGCGUAGAGAUCUGGAGGAAUACCGGUGGCGAAGGCGGCCCCCUGGACGAAGACUGACGCUCAGGUGCGAAAGCGUGGGGAGCAAACA